GGAUAACCUUGCGAAAGUAAGACUAAUACCCAAUGAUAUCUCUAGAAGACAUCUGAAGGAGAUUAAAGAUUUAUCGGUGAUGGAUGGGGAUGCGUCUGAUUAGCUUGUUGGCGGGGUAACGGCCCACCAAGGCGACGAUCAGUAGGGGUUCUGAGAGGAAGGUCCCCCACAUUGGAACUGAGACACGGUCCAAACUCCUACGGGAGGCAGCAGUGAGGAAUAUUGGUCAAUUGGCGAGAGCCUGAACCAGCCAAGUAGCGUGCAGGAUGACGGCCCUAUGGGUUGUAAACUGCUUUUAUAAGGGAAUAAAGUGAGUCUCGUGAGGCUUUUUGCAUGUACCUUAUGAAUAAGGACCGGCUAAUUCCGUGCCAGCAGCCGCGGUAAUACGGAAGGUCCGGGCGUUAUCCGGAUUUAUUGGGUUUAAAGGGAGCGUAGGCCGGAGAUUAAGCGUGUUGUGAAAUGUAGAUGCUCAACAUCUGCACUGCAGCGCGAACUGGUUUCCUUGAGUACGCACAAAGUGGGCGGAAUUCGUGGUGUAGCGGUGAAAUGCUUAGAUAUCACGAAGAACUCCGAUUGCGAAGGCAGCUCACUGGAGCGCAACUGACGCUGAAGCUCGAAAGUGCGGGUAUCGAACAGGA
This 638-nucleotide ribosomal RNA is filed under the name uncultured Bacteroidota bacterium. RNAcentral describes it as "bacterial SSU rRNA". It matches the Rfam family "Bacterial small subunit ribosomal RNA", at positions 141 to 777 of the family's 1533-position model. Lineage: Bacteria; Pseudomonadati; Bacteroidota. The record is from RNAcentral.